Molecule: ribosomal RNA, 452 nt
Filed under: uncultured bacterium
Lineage: Bacteria
Description: SSU rRNA
Rfam family: Bacterial small subunit ribosomal RNA
Source: RNAcentral
AGAGCGAACGCUGGCGGCAUGCUUAACACAUGCAAGUCGCACGGGCACUUCGGUGUCAGUGGCGGACGGGUGAGUAACGCGUAGGUAUCUAUCCUUGGGUGGGGGACAACGGUUGGAAACGACUGCUAAUACCGCAUGAUAACUGAGGUUUAAAGGCGCAAGUCGCCUGAGGAGGAGCCUGCGUACGAUUAGCUAGUUGGUGGGGUAAAGCCUACCAAGGCGACGAUCGUUAGCUGGUCUGAGAGGAUGAUCAGCCACAUUGGGACUGAGACACGGCCCAAAACUCCUACGGGAGGCAGCAGUGGGGAAUAUUGGACAAUGGGCGAAAAGCCUGAUCCAGCAAUGCCGCGUGUGUGAAGAAGGUCUUCGGAUUGUAAAAGCAACUUUCGACUAGGGACGAUGAUGACGGUACCUGUAGAAGAAGCCCCGGCUAACUUCGUGCCAGCAGCCGC